CAAAUGCUAUCCAAUUUUAAUUCCUUCAGGCAAGAGGAUUCCACAAGGAAGGAUUAUGUCAAGCAGAUGAAGUCAGAUUCGAUUUUAGUUCUUAUUAUGGAUGCAAUGACUUCCUGAUUGGCGAUUUGGUUGAGACUCGUAGACGAGAUCUGACUGGCGUUUUUAGAACAGAGGAGCAGUCUAGACCCAUUAAGCAAGUGAUCAAAGAGAAAGAUUCAUAUUCAGGUUCUGACUUGUAUUCGGAUGGAUUGGAUAUCCUAGAGCAAUUGAUAAGGAAAAGGCAAGAGAACUAAAAGAUACAGAGGUAGAAUUGCAGCUCAAUAUCAAAGACAAAUCAUAUGAGUUUAGAUUGCCUAUAGAAGAGGCACUUCUCCAUUAAUUCUACUUUGAAGUUUUCGUGGUUCAUUUUGAAUUUGGAAACUUGAGCCUCUUAUGAUUUUCCUUUAGGAGCUUCAAGAAAAGGCAUAGUGACCACCAGAUCUUACAAAACUUCAGCGCAGAAUAAAAGAGAGUGUGCUAUCUCUCCGUCAAUCUUCUGCAUUUUCUCCUCUCUCUCUCUCUCUCUCUCUCUCUCUCUCUCUCUCUCUCUCU
Magnolia sinica is the source of this 591-nucleotide long non-coding RNA. RefSeq lists it as uncharacterized. The transcript has 3 exons. Lineage: Eukaryota; Viridiplantae; Streptophyta; Magnoliopsida; Magnoliales; Magnoliaceae. The record is from RefSeq and is a predicted model, not a curated record.